Molecule: ribosomal RNA, 253 nt
Filed under: uncultured bacterium
Lineage: Bacteria
Description: partial 16S ribosomal RNA
Rfam family: Bacterial small subunit ribosomal RNA
Source: RNAcentral
UACGAAGGACCCGAGCGUUAUCCGGAUUUAUUGGGUUUAAAGGGUGCGUAGGCGGAUUAGUAAGUCAGUGGUGAAAGCCCGUCGCUUAACGGUGGAAUUGCCAUUGAUACUGCUAGUCUUGAGUAUGGUUGAGGUGGGCGGAAUGUGUCAUGUAGCGGUGAAAUGCUUAGAUAUGACCCAGAACACCAAUUGCGAAGGCAGCUCGCUAAACCAUAACUGACGCUGAUGCACGAAAGCGUGGGGAGCAAACAGG